AUCUGGGAGGGGAGUGGGUUCCAGUGGUUAGGGCACUGGGAGCCAGCACUGCUGGCCAGGACUCCUGGAUCUGGGAGGGGAGUGGGUUCCAGUGGUUAGGGCACUGGGAGCCAGCACUGCUGGCCAGGACUCCUGGAUCUGGGAGGGGAGUGGGGUCCAGUGGUUAGGGCACUGGGAGCCAGCACUGCUGGCCAGGAUUCCUGGAUCUGGGAGGGGAGUGGGGUCUAGUGGUUAGCGCACUAGGAGCAAGGACUCCUGGGU
Gopherus flavomarginatus (Mexican gopher tortoise) is the source of this 261-nucleotide long non-coding RNA. RefSeq lists it as uncharacterized. The record is from RefSeq and is a predicted model, not a curated record. Lineage: Eukaryota; Metazoa; Chordata; Testudines; Testudinidae. The transcript has 4 exons.